AUGGAACGCUGGCGGUGCGUUUAAUACAUGCAAGUUGACUGGGCAAAAUGCCCAGAGCGCCCGGGUGAGUAGUAAACAGGAAGACUACCCAGAAGAGAGGACCAAGGGAGGUUUUCCCCCAAAUGUCCUAAGCGGGUCUCACUUGUAGAAGCAUAUGCUUCUCGAGAGUCUCAGCAAGGAAAGUUUCGCUUCUGGAGGGGCCUGUUUCGGAUUAGGUCGUAGGUGGCUUGUGCCCAUCCUAGCCGAUGAUCCGUCGCUGGUAUGAGAGUACGAUCAGCCACACUGGAACUGAAAAGGAUUCAGACCUGAGUUCAGGGCAGCAGUAGAGAAUCUUGCACACUGGGGGAAACCCUGAUGCAGCGACACCGCAUGGAGGAGGAUGACAGCGUACUGUUGUAAACUCCAAGAUUCUAUUCUAUGAUGAAGGAUAGAAGAAAAAGCCCCGGCAAACUUCGUGCCAGCCGCCGCCGUAACAC
RNAcentral lists this ribosomal RNA (476 nucleotides) under uncultured bacterium. Its description in RNAcentral is "bacterial SSU rRNA". It matches the Rfam family "Bacterial small subunit ribosomal RNA", at positions 31 to 526 of the family's 1533-position model. The record is from RNAcentral.